UACAGAGGGUGCAAGCGUUAAUCGGAUUUACUGGGCGUAAAGGGUGUGUAGGUGGUUGUUCAAGUCGGUUGUGAAAGCCCUGGGCUUAACCUAGGAAUUGCUUCCGAUACUGAAUAGCUAGAGUACGGUAGAGGGCGGUGGAAUUUCCGGUGUAGCGGUGAAAUGCGUAGAUAUCGGAAGGAACAUCAAUGGCGAAGGCAGCCGCCUGGGCCUGUACUGACACUGAGACACGAAAGCGUGGGGAUCAAACAGGAUUAGAUACCCUGGUAGUCCACGCCGUAAACGAUGAGAACUUGACGUUGGCGUGCUUUGCAUGUCGGUGUCGUAGCUAACGCGCUAAGUUCUCCGCCUGGGGAGUACGGCCGCAAGGCUGAA
This 375-nucleotide ribosomal RNA is filed under the name uncultured bacterium. Its description in RNAcentral is "bacterial SSU rRNA". It matches the Rfam family "Bacterial small subunit ribosomal RNA", at positions 524 to 898 of the family's 1533-position model. The record is from RNAcentral.